CGCGUAAGAUCGCAAGCUCCUUCUAGAUCUCUCUCGCCUUUGUUGUUGUUGUGGUUCCCGAUUUUCUCUUCUCUGUUUUGGAAGAAGCUUUUCUCCAUAGAGUUUUUGGUGUUCCAGCUUCCCUCUUGUGCGUUUUCCUGCCACGAGAAAACAUCAACUUAGAGCAAAGAAGUUUCUCUUUUUGCUUGCCUUUGGCUGACGCCUUGUCUUGGUUUCUUCUCAGCUUCCACGGCUAUGGACACGACAUGAGCCGCCAGGUAGAAGCCCACCACUACUGCGGCCAUGU
Molecule: long non-coding RNA, 286 nt
Filed under: Selaginella moellendorffii
Lineage: Eukaryota; Viridiplantae; Streptophyta; Lycopodiopsida; Selaginellales; Selaginellaceae
Description: long non-coding RNA (SMOE_LNC002378)
Source: RNAcentral